Molecule: ribosomal RNA, 2228 nt
Filed under: human gut metagenome
Description: bacterial LSU rRNA
Rfam family: Bacterial large subunit ribosomal RNA
Source: RNAcentral
UAUGAGGGGAACCGCCUGAACUGAAACAUCUAAGUAGGGCGAGGAAGAGAAAUCAACUGAGAUUCCGUAAGUAGUGGCGAGCGAACGCGGAAGAGGCCAAACCUAAUGUAGUAAUAUGUUAGGGGUUCGGACAGUAAAAUGAAUUGUCGAGAUUUAGCCGAAUGUCAUGGGAAGGGCAAUCAAAGAUGGUGAAAAUCCAGUAGGCGAAAAGUUAAGACAUCAGACUGUAUCCAGAGUACCGCCGGACACGUGAAACCCGGUGGGAAUACGGGGGGACCAUCCUCCAAGCCUAAAUACUACUCGGUGACCGAUAGAGAAGAAGUACUGUGAAGGAAAGGUGAAAAGCACCCCGGAAGGGGAGUGAAAGAGAACCUGAAACCUUGUGUUUACAAGCACCGAAAGUUCAUCAACGAACGAUCGGGUACCUUUUGUAGAAUGGUCCGGCGAGUGAAUGUAACUGGCAAGGUUAAGCACUUAAGGUGUGAAGCCGUAGCGAGAGCGAGUCUGAAAAGGGCGCAUGAAGUCAGUUGUAUUCGACCCGAAACCGGGUGACCUACCCAUGUCCAGGCUGAAGUGCAGGUAAAACUUCAUGGAGGGCCGAACCGACUCCCGUUGAAAUGGUAGCGGAUGAGGUGUGGGUAGCGGAGAAAUUCCAAUCGAACCCGGAGAUAGCUGGUUCUCUCCGAAAUAGCUUUAGGGCUAGCCUUGGAAUAGAUUACUGGAGGUAAAGCACUGAAUUGGCUAGGGGCCGAGAGGUUACUGAACCUUAUCAAACUAAGAAUGCCAGAUAAUCGUUUUCCAGGAGUCAGACAGUGGGAGAUAAGUUUCAUUGUCAAAAGGGAAACAGCCCAGACCUACAGCUAAGGUCCCAAAGUAUAGUUAAGUGGAAAAGGAUGUGGAAUUGCAUAGACAACCAGGAUGUUGGCUUAGAAGCAGCCACUCAUUAAAAGAGUGCGUAAUAGCUCACUGGUCGAGUGAUUCUGCGCCGAAAAUUUAACGGGGCUAAACUAUACACCGAAGCUUAGGAUACCGCAAGGUAUGGUAGGAGAGCGUUCUGUACGGAGUGAAGUCGUAGCGAAAGCGGCGGUGGACUGUACAGAAGUGAGAAUGCCGGAAUAAGUAGCGAGAAUUAAGUGAGAAUCUUAAUGGCCGAAAGUCUAAGGUUUUUGGAGGAAGGUUCGUCCGCUCCAAGUAAGUCGGGAGCUAAGGUCAGGCCGAAAGGCGUAGCCGAUGCACAAACGGUUGAUAUUCCGUUACCGUCUACAAUUUAAACAAAGGGACACAUACAAAGCGUUUAACCCGGGCGAUGGUUGACCCGGGCGCAAGGGACUGAAAUAAGAGUAGGGAAGUAAAUGUGGCGUAUGGCGAGAAAAGCUUUGUGAAUAGAAGUAGACGCCCGUACCGCAAACCGACACAGGUGGACAGGAAGAGAAUUCUAAGGCCAGCGGGAGAAGGGUAGUUAAGGAACUCGGCAAAUUGACUCCGUAACUUCGGAAUAAGGAGUGCUCGAAAGAGCCGCAGAGAAUAGGCCCAGGCGACUGUUUAGCAAAAACACAGGUCUCUGCCAAAUCGAAAGAUGAAGUAUAGGGGCUGACACCUGCCCGGUGCCGGAAGGUUAAGAGGAGGAGUGCAAGCUCCGAAUUGAAGCCCCGGUAAACGGCGGCCGUAACUAUAACGGUCCUAAGGUAGCGAAAUUCCUUGUCGGGUAAGUUCCGACCCGCACGAAUGGUGUAACGAUCUGGGCACUGUCUCAACUACCCACCCGGCGAAAUUGUAGUACCGGUGAAGAUGCCGGUUACCUGCGGCAAGACGGAAAGACCCCAUGGAGCUUUACUGUAGCCUGAUAUUGGGUUUCGGAAAUCUAUGUACAGGAUAGGCGGGAGACUGGGAAGUAUGAGCGUCAGCUUAUACGGAGUCAUUGUUGGGAUACCGCCCUUAGGUUUCUGGAAUUCUAACCUGCGACCGUGAAUCCGGUCGGGGGACAUUGUCAGGUGGGCAGUUUGACUGGGGCGGUCGCCUCCGAAAAGGUAACGGAGGCGCUCAAAGGUUGGCUCAGCACGGACGGAAACCGUGCCUCAGAGUGUAAACGCAAAAGCCAGCCUAACUGCGAGGAUGACGGUCCGAGCAGUAACGAAAGUUGGAGUUAGUGAUCCGGCGGUAUGUGAAUGGAAAUGCCGUCGCUCAACGGAUAAAAGCUACCCUGGGGAUAACAGGCUGAUCUCCCCCAA